UUAUUUACCUUGUUGCUUCGGCGGGCCCGCCUUAACUGGCCGCCGGGGGGCUCACGCCCCCGGGCCCGCGCCCGCCGAAGACACCCUCGAACUCUGUCUGAAGAUUGUAGUCUGAGUGAAAAUAUAAAUUAUUUAAAACUUUCAACAACGGAUCUCUUGGUUCCGGCAUCGAUGAAGAACGCAGCGAAAUGCGAUACGUAAUGUGAAUUGCAAAUUCAGUGAAUCAUCGAGUCUUUGAACGCACAUUGCGCCCCCUGGUAUUCCGGGGGGCAUGCCUGUCCGAGCGUCAUUGCUGCCCUCAAGCACGGCUUGUGUGUUGGGCCCCGUCCUCCGAUUCCGGGGGACGGGCCCGAAAGGCAGCGGCGGCACCGCGUCCGGUCCUCGAGCGUAUGGGGCUUUGUCACCCGCUCUGUAGGCCCGGCCGGCGCUUGCCGAUCAACCCAAAUUUUUAUCCAGGUUGACCUCGGAUCAGGUAGGGAUACCCGCUGAACUUAAGCAUACAU
RNAcentral lists this ribosomal RNA (503 nucleotides) under Scopulariopsis brevicaulis (arsenic fungus). RNAcentral's name for it is "eukaryotic LSU rRNA". The stretch from base 137 to 289 matches the Rfam family "5.8S ribosomal RNA". Lineage: Eukaryota; Fungi; Ascomycota; Sordariomycetes; Microascales; Microascaceae. The record is from RNAcentral.